AAUCAACGCUGGCGGCGUGCCUCAGACAUGCAAGUCGAACGCGAAAUCUCCCUUCGGGGAGAAAGUAGAGUGGCGCACGGGUGAGUAACACGUAGGUAAUUUGCCUUCGGGUGGGGAAUAACAGCCGGAAACGGCUGCUAAUACCGCAUAAUGCAGCGGCUCGACAUCAAGACAGUUGUUAAAGCGGGGGAUCGCAAGACCUCGCGCCUGAAGAGAAGCCUGCGGCAGAUUAGCUAGUUGGCAGGGUAAUGGCCUACCAAGGCGACGAUCUGUAACCGGCCUGAGAGGGCGGUCGGUCACACUGACACUGACAUACGGGGUCAGACUCCUACGGGAGGCAGCAGUCGGGAAUUUUGGGCAAUGGGCGAAAGCCU
RNAcentral lists this ribosomal RNA (374 nucleotides) under uncultured bacterium. Its description in RNAcentral is "bacterial SSU rRNA". It matches the Rfam family "Bacterial small subunit ribosomal RNA", at positions 32 to 384 of the family's 1533-position model. The record is from RNAcentral.